Long non-coding RNA from Oreochromis niloticus (Nile tilapia), 799 nucleotides. RefSeq lists it as uncharacterized. NCBI's taxonomy places the organism in Eukaryota, Metazoa, Chordata, Actinopteri, Cichliformes, Cichlidae. The record is from RefSeq and is a predicted model, not a curated record. The transcript is spliced from 2 exons.
GCACACACUGGAAAACCAGCACCUGGACUUCAUGCAGGAGAGAUGACCUCAGUGAUAAUUCAUCAGCAGCUGUGAAGAGAUGUAUUUGAAUAUCUUCUGGUUCCACUUUUCUUAACCUGGAAGCUGAGGAUGGCUGAUUCCUGACAAGGACACACACCUCAGCGCUUAUCAUGGGUGUUACAUCCUCUGUGCCGCAAUUCCAGAGAAAACGAGAGAGCAACGACCACUCAUUAAGACCAGCCAGAAAUCUGUCCCUUUCUGGCAGCUGUGGAAACUUCCAAUAAGAAAGUUUGCAUUCUUAGAACAAUGCUGGGUCAUGUGUGAUGUGUCAUUAUAUGAGGAUAUUACAUUUUGACUUGAUUCUGCUCAAUUAAGUGUUUUGUUCGUUGAUCCAAUAUGGCAGCUUUUUAUUGUGCUCCAAGUUAAAACUCAUUGUCCUCAUGAGCACAGCAUCUAACAACUCUCCUUAAAAAAGUCGAUUGACUUUAACUGGACACAAUGGUUUCCAGUGGGAGAUACAUUCAUCACUCAUCCGUGACACUGGAGAAGUCACCUGAGUGAGUGAUAAAACAAUUUUCCAUGGAAAAUCCAGAAGAACUAAACUUUGUUGUUGUUUCUUUGGGCUCAAUUUCAGCUCUAGCAGCAUCUCUCAGAAGAAAACAGUUUUGCAAAUAAUCAGAUAAAAAGAUUGUUGAACUAGGUGGUAUUCUCUGGAGUUUAAGACCAACACUGAACUCAAACAGUGAAUUGACAUUAGACUGGAAUUCAUAAGAUGAAUAGAAAUACUGCUGAAGCUGAA